GCUUUCUGGCCUAGCACUUGCUGGUCUUUGCAUUAUGUGUUCUCUAGUGAUGCUCCCCAUCUUGUUUCGUGUCUAAAAUAAAUCUACUGUGUACUACUUUUGAGAUAAUUUUAUAGAGCUAUUGCCAGAUAGUAUUUUCAGUAUUGUAGCAAGUGGCACUAAACAACGGAUCGUGGAGCUUUAAAAUACGAAUGUUAUUACACAGCUAUAACACUUUUUUGUGUGUUUUGGGCAUGGUUCAGGUGCUUUUGAUCAAUUCCUUAUUAUAACCUAUGAGUCUUAUCUCUCAACCUACAACUGACUGCAAGUGUCCUGUAGGUGUGUUGGACAUAUUAAAAUAUAGGAAGCUAAUAGAGGAGGAAAGAAGCGAUUUGAUUACCAAGCAGCAUGGUCCUUUGGGUUGUGUUUCUUCAAUGCAAGAUCGACACAAGGAUGUAACAGCAGUGAUAUUUUACAUCGUCUACCAGGGGCGGAGCGGCGAGAGGUCUAGAGAAGCGUUGCUUUUGUAAAUCACCUAGAACAAAAUUUUCAUCUAUGGGAGUAAAAAGCAGGCGAGGUACCUGUGAUUUUUUUGGCUUUUGCCAACCCAUGUA
This is a long non-coding RNA of Lolium perenne, 593 nucleotides long. RefSeq lists it as uncharacterized. The record is from RefSeq and is a predicted model, not a curated record. Lineage: Eukaryota; Viridiplantae; Streptophyta; Magnoliopsida; Poales; Poaceae.